Molecule: long non-coding RNA, 360 nt
Organism: Labrus mixtus (cuckoo wrasse)
Lineage: Eukaryota; Metazoa; Chordata; Actinopteri; Labriformes; Labridae
Exons: 4
Source: RefSeq, a predicted model, not a curated record
AGGAAACAGGAAGUUGAGGGUUCCUUCUUUAAUCUUCAAGUCUGCACACAGCAGGCAGCAACAGAAAUUUUUCACUCCUUCUUCAAUCUGGUGAAUAAAUGAAAAGAGGAGUUUGUCUGACUGUCAACCUACGUGCACCAAACACGUGGAGGACUGUACACAUACCUGUGGAGGAUGUAGAAGACCAUCUCUUUACUUCCUGCACUGGCAGCGUGAUGACGUCACCUGCAGCCGGACGAGUCGAGUGACGUGAGGUCGGCUCCCUCCAGGUGCGGCUCCUGCAGCUGAUGAUUCAAUUCAAAGACACGUGGGCAGCCUGACCAAAGCAAGAUGAAGAGCUGUUAACAUUUAUGCUACACC